GAGCUGCCCUCCCAGAGUCCUCCCCCACUUCCUGCCCACAAACAUUCCACAUCAGAUGUCCGCAGAGAUCCCUGUGUGGACACAGAAAUUUCCCAUGUAGAAAUAAAGGUCUGCCUCCAGGUGGGGGAGAAGGGCAGAGAGGGGGCCAGCUAUGAUUUUAUGUAUACAAUUGUUAGGGUUUAUAUUUGCUCAAAGCAACGUUUUAAAGCGUCCAUAACUAUGGUACGGAAGGUAAAAGAGUCCACCACAAGGUGACUAUGUUUAAUAAGAAUAGUUACAAGAGUAACACUUCCUAGAGGGGCGGGUACUGGGACUUGGAUAUGCAGGGGGAGGAGGCGAGGGCCCUCCUGGGAAAGUGCUGUGAGCCUCCCAGUCAUGUGGCUGCCUGUGGCUGCCUGUGCCUGGGAAGCCAGGGUCUCUGACUGAAGUGCAUCCUCCUCGCGUCCUGCCGGAGCAACCCCCGGAUACAUAGGAGCUGAGAAGAGAAGCCGUGUUUGAGCAAGGCUGCCGGGCCCUGUGGUCUGAAUUCUGUGAAGGAGGACAGCCCCUUGAUCUUGACUCCCCCCUUUUCUUAAGGAAGGUGGUGUGGUGAAUCAGAGGUGGUGAAUCACAGAAAAUCAAAUGCAUGCUGAUCCAGGACAGCUUCAAGAAAAGACUAUAAAAGAUUAAACUCACCUGUGAUACUGAUGCUCAAACACAAUCACUGAAUUUAAGGUCUCACACAGGAAAAUAUGACAUCUCUAAAGUAAGCAUUUCAUCUGCAACCCAUUUUGGAGCAGCUGAACACUGAUGAAUUAAGAAAGUUCAAAUCUCUACUGAUUCCUUCCCAUGAAAGAGUACAUGUGGGCCUCAAAAGCACUCCUGGCUGCCAAGGGCAUUUGGACAGACAACAUUGUUUGAUGAAGAAGAUCGUAGGAGGAUUGGGAUACAGGACAGUGAUCUCUGUCCCUUCCUGGACAAGGCUAUCCUCCAGAGGGACAGACUGUGAGGAUGCUACUGCUUUGUAUAUGUCAGUGUCCAGCAGCUUCUUCCUGCCAUGUUCUACAUUCUAGGACUUAGAGCAGGAUGUUAUCAACAUGGUGAUGUAAACAGCUACUGGAAACUUCUCUCCAGAGACUCAAUAAAAAAAAGGAUAAUUCUGAAUUGUUUAAAACUCUGGAAGAGGAUGGAGACUGGAGAAAGACACUGCAAAAGCUGAACUGAAGAAAGAGAAGAAAUGUCAGGUAGGAAUUUUCUGUCUGAGACCAGGGGUCCUCUCCUCUACCCCUCACUUGGUCUCCAUGUGGAAAAGGCACUGAAAUGGCAGACAGGACCUCUUUCACCAUGGACACAGAUUUUAAAGCCCCACAGUGGUGAAAAAUGCCCUCACUGUUUGAAGACCUGAUGGACAGGGGAGGACAUUUCAAGGCCCAAAUCAAUGAGGGACAAAGAGACUGAGACAACUUGUCCAGAGGCAUGUUUCCAGCCCUGGGUCUGAAAGCCAUUCCCCACCCUAGGGAACAGGCAGACCAGCCUCUGAGGGUGAUUAAGUUACUGAACAGUGCCAUCUGCUGGAAAGUGCAAAAAGUGCAAGGAUCCUUUCUUUGGAAUACACCCUGUAUGGGAACCCAGCCCUGUUUAGGCUGAGAAAUAAAGAAGGCCCAACUCUUAAAGCAGGGACCCUAAUCAAACCCAGGUCUUGCUAACUCAAACCCAUGCUGAAAGAUAUCUGGGUCUUUGAUUUUUCAUACAGGAGUUUUUGCUUUCAGACUCAAAGACACAGACAAGCUUUCCUAUGAUAUUUCUGAAAUGGUGAUUGGAGCAAUUCUAGAGCUGCUUUUUCUAAGAGCAGACCUUCUGGGUACUUUACUCUGCUCAAGUGAUCUUUCUCCCAAAUACUGGCUAUAAAGAGAAGUCUUAGUUCAAAAAUGUGCAUCACAUGGGCUUAUGACUUGAGCUAUUUUCUCUGGAAAAUUUUAUAAACCACAUUCCCAAGAAUUUAGAGAUAAUAUCCCAUCCAGUGUCUCCUCAGUAACCAGUAUUUCUGUUUACAAGUUAAUCAAAAAAGCUUUAAGUAAAGUUUUCAGUUCUAGGACUGGGUGAUUUUCCUGUCUAGGCAGCCAUAAAUUAGAUGCUUUUUAAAUUGGGCCCAACUGGGCUUGGGGUCAGAGCUGCUAAAAGAUCCCACAUUCAUUGAUGUCCUGGAAUUGUGUAGCUUCCCAUAACUAUGUCCUCCAGUCACAAUAAUUGGAAAGUAAUAAGGAGCCAUCAGGGUCAAAAGUGAGAGUUAUGGAAGGUGACAGAAGACAGAGCAUAAUCUAAGACUUUUGGAACUUAUUUUAUGCUGCAAUCAGAAUCCUACCAAAUGAUACAAAAAAUGCCUUCUUAAUUCAAUACACAAGAUUUUAUAAAAUUGCUUUUACAGUAAAUUCUCCAUGUUGAAGAACCAGCAUUAUAAAAUUGGAAUCUAACCAAAUGAUACAAUUUUGCUAGAUUCAUUUCAGAGCCUUAUUACCACCUAGGGGCCCAGUGGAAAAUCAUAAAUCCCAGAAUGGUGACAUUAUAUAAAUAUUCUGAAAAGUAAAUGAAACAAUAAAUUAAUUGAUAGUAGUGAAACAUAUUCCAAUGUUUAAGUUUUCCUUGUAUGCAUGUUCCAUAGAAAUGGAUGAAAUCCAUAAGACAAGGAUGAAGAGUUAAAGGAUGAAAUCUCAUAAGACAAUGGAAGAAUGAAACAUAUCUUAUGGAUAAGGGGUGAUUACUGAAUAUCUUAGACAUGCCUACACAUUGUUAUAUUUUACAUUUCAAGAAAGUUAAAAAGAAGAAAAA
Choloepus didactylus (southern two-toed sloth) is the source of this 2805-nucleotide long non-coding RNA. RefSeq lists it as uncharacterized. Lineage: Eukaryota; Metazoa; Chordata; Mammalia; Pilosa; Megalonychidae. The transcript has 7 exons. The record is from RefSeq and is a predicted model, not a curated record.